GAUCCUGGCUCAGGAUGAACGCUGGCGGCGUGCCUAACACAUGCAAGUCGAGCGAAGCGGUUUUUGAGGAAGUUUUUCGGAUGGAAUUAAGACUGACUGAGCGGCGGACGGGUGAGUAACGCGUGGGUAACCUGCCUCAUACGAGGGGAUAACAGUUAGAAAUGGCUGCUAAUACCGCAUAAGCACACAGCUUCGCAUGGAGCAGUGUAGAAAAACUCCGGUGGUAUGAGAUGGACCCGCG
This 241-nucleotide ribosomal RNA is filed under the name uncultured bacterium. RNAcentral's name for it is "partial 16S ribosomal RNA". It matches the Rfam family "Bacterial small subunit ribosomal RNA", at positions 15 to 235 of the family's 1533-position model. The record is from RNAcentral.